Long non-coding RNA from Dreissena polymorpha, 772 nucleotides. RefSeq lists it as uncharacterized. NCBI's taxonomy places the organism in Eukaryota, Metazoa, Mollusca, Bivalvia, Myida, Dreissenidae. The transcript has 2 exons. The record is from RefSeq and is a predicted model, not a curated record.
CACAUAUGGCGAGCUGAUAGAAACCAACAUGGAGGAGAUACACCAGAACUGCUGAAAUCCCCCAAGUAAGAACAUCAAGUUACGGCAUCAACUCUUUCCGUUUCGGGGCUGCCAAACUGUGGAACUCUCUCCCCCAACAUUUCAGGGACCAAGUACAUUUCAACCAGUUCUCCAGUUUGGUUAGCUCUUGGGACGGUGAGAGCUGCCGCUGCUCCUAUUGCAUGUAUCAAACAUAGCUGCUAAAUUUUUGCUUUUUGUUGUUGCUUGCAUGCUCUAUGUUUUCAUGCAUACUGUGAUAUAAGCUUAUCAUUGUGUAUUUAAAAAGUGCUUAAAGUGAUUAAUAAGCCAAAUACAAGUACUUUUGAAAAAACUUUUUAUUUGGCUUUUUGUUGCUAGCUCGUUUAAAGUGCUACAUUUUUUAGAUUUUGUUGCUUGCUUGCUUUUGUGUUGCAUGCACACUGUGAUAUACCCUUUUCUUUUUACUCAUGCAACGAACCUGAUUUUAAUAUAAAUAUGUAAGUUAAAUCAUUAUAAGUAAAAUAAACUUUCAUUGAAUAUGUAAGUGCUUAAAUUUUGGCUUUUUGUUGCUUGCUUGUUUAAGUUGCUAAAAUUUUGGCUGCUUGUUGCUUGCAUGUUUCUUAUGUUUCAUGCACACUGUGAUAUAUGCUUUUUUAUAAAUAAGCUUAAUCAUUAUUAAGUAAAUAUACUUUCAUCACAACUAUUGUAAAUCCUUUAAGUAAAUAAUUAUGUUUUAAUUACAAGCUUACUUUUU